This 257-nucleotide ribosomal RNA is filed under the name uncultured bacterium. RNAcentral's name for it is "partial 16S ribosomal RNA". It matches the Rfam family "Bacterial small subunit ribosomal RNA", at positions 524 to 776 of the family's 1533-position model. The record is from RNAcentral.
UACGAGAGGGGCGAGCGUUAUUCGGAAUGAUUGGGCGUAAAGCGCACGUAGGCGGUUUAGAAAAUCCGAAAUCGAGAAUCUCAAAGCUUUACUUUGAGAAGUAUUUUCUGUGAUUCCUAGACUUGAGUAAGUAAGAGGAGAAUGGAAUUCCUGGUGUAGAGGUAAAAUAUGUUGAUAUCAGGAGGAACAUCAAAAGCGAAGGCAAUUCUCUGGUACUAGACUGACGUUGAGGUGCGACAGCGUGGGGAUCAAAAGGG